AAUAUUGCGCAAUGGAGGAAACUCUGACGCAGCGACGCCGCGUGAGCGAUGAAGGUCUUCGGAUCGUAAAGCUCUGUCCUUGGGGAAGAAGGUCUUCGGACUUGACGGUACCUAAGGAGGAAGCUCCGGCUAACUACGUGCCAGCAGCCGCGGUAAUACGGAGGGGGCAAGGGGGUUCCGGAAUUAUUGGGCGUAAAGGGUGCGUAGGCGGCCUUUUAAGUCAGGGGGGAAAGCCCACGGCUUAACCGUGGGAUUGCAGUUGAAACUGGAAGGCUUGAGUAUCGGAGAGGGUAGUGGAAUUCCCAGUGUAGCGGUGGAAUGCGUAGAUAUUGGGAGGAACACCAGUGGCGAAGGCGACUACCUGGACGAAAACUGACGCUGAGGCACGAAAGCUAGGGGAGCAAAC
Molecule: ribosomal RNA, 406 nt
Filed under: uncultured bacterium
Lineage: Bacteria
Description: partial 16S ribosomal RNA
Rfam family: Bacterial small subunit ribosomal RNA
Source: RNAcentral